This 371-nucleotide ribosomal RNA is filed under the name uncultured organism. RNAcentral's name for it is "partial 16S ribosomal RNA". It matches the Rfam family "Bacterial small subunit ribosomal RNA", at positions 527 to 896 of the family's 1533-position model. The record is from RNAcentral.
GUAGGUGGCAAGCGUUGUCCGGAAUUAUUGGGCGUAAAGCGCGCGCAGGCGGUCCUUUAAGUCUGAUGUGAAAGCCCACGGCUCAACCGUGGAGGGUCAUCGGAAACUGGGGGACUUGAGUGCAGAAGAGAAGAGUGGAAUUCCACGUGUAGCGGUGAAAUGCGUAGAGAUGCGGAGGAACACCAGUGGCGAAGGCGACUCUUUGGUCUGUAACUGACGCUGAGGCGCGAAAGCGUGGGGAGCAAACAGGAUUAGAUACCCUGGUAGUCCACGCCGUAAACGAUGAGUGCUAAGUGUUAGAGGGUUUCCGCCCUUUAGUGCUGCAGCAAACGCAUUAAGCACUCCGCCCUGGGGGUACGGCCGCAAGGCUG